This is a long non-coding RNA of Oreochromis niloticus (Nile tilapia), 441 nucleotides long. RefSeq lists it as uncharacterized. The record is from RefSeq and is a predicted model, not a curated record. The transcript is spliced from 3 exons. Lineage: Eukaryota; Metazoa; Chordata; Actinopteri; Cichliformes; Cichlidae.
GGCAAUUUCAAUAUGGCCUCUUUAUCUGCAUUAAGUUGAUAGGAUGUGGUUUUGAUGGGGAGGUAAUGUGGUUGCAUGCAUCUCAGGCUCAUGGAUGAACGUGUCUACUUGUUUGCACACAGGCUUUUCCAUCUGGGCAUGUGACGUCCUCCCUCAGCACACAAUCACCAGUUUAUUUACCUGCAUGGCUGCCCAAGAGAGACGGGAGUUUGCGUCAGUGCACACAUCCCAUGGCCCCAGUGAAGCACAACGGGGGACAGCAGGGACAGCAGGGAGGCUUAAUGCACUGAGCGUGUGUGUGGACACAUCGUGGCUACACCGCCAAUGUUUGUCAAGAUGACUCCAAACUUUCAGUUUCAUCAUCAUGAUUGGAGGGCCGGGAUGAUGUACGACACCUCGUCUACAUUUGUCAUAAUAAAGAAGCAUGUCCCACAGUGCAAC